UACAGAGGGUGCAAACGUUGUUCGGAAUUACUGGGCUUAAAGCGCACGUAGGCGGCGUUGUAAGUGUCGGGUGAAAUCCCACGGCUCACCCGUGGAACUGCCCGGCAUACUGCGAUGCUAGAGUGUGGUAGGGGAGAGCGGAACUCCUGGUGGAGCGGUGAAAUGCGUAGAUAUCAGGAGGAACACCGGUGGCGAAGGCGGCUCUCUGGUCCACAACUGACGCUGAGGUGCGAAAGCUAGGGGAGCAAACGGG
Molecule: ribosomal RNA, 253 nt
Filed under: uncultured bacterium
Lineage: Bacteria
Description: partial 16S ribosomal RNA
Rfam family: Bacterial small subunit ribosomal RNA
Source: RNAcentral